Molecule: long non-coding RNA, 268 nt
Organism: Parasteatoda tepidariorum (common house spider)
Lineage: Eukaryota; Metazoa; Arthropoda; Arachnida; Araneae; Theridiidae
Source: RefSeq, a predicted model, not a curated record
UUCGAACCCUCCAAAGACAAUUUUUUCUGGAACAUUUUAGAAUACCAGAAGGUCAAGCUGAAGCAUACUUUAUCAUCCAAUUUUUACAGAUUUAAUGACGAUAGCAUGUUUGUUGUAAAUGCUGUUUUUGGACGACAUAUUGUUCUUAGAUAUGGAAUUCUUAAUCCACCAGCCUAUCACUUUAAUAGACCAAGCGUGCUGAAUUUAGGUUCCGUAGGAUAUAUAAUUUUGCAUGAAAUUGGGCAUGGAAUAUCUAUGGUACUCGGUA